Molecule: ribosomal RNA, 71 nt
Filed under: Anopheles cruzii
Lineage: Eukaryota; Metazoa; Arthropoda; Insecta; Diptera; Culicidae
Also listed under: 3 other names
Description: partial 5.8S ribosomal RNA
Source: RNAcentral
AUGAACACCGAUACGUUGAACGCAUAUUGCGCAUCGCACGACACAGUGCGAUGUACACAUUUUUGAGUGCC